This 927-nucleotide ribosomal RNA is filed under the name uncultured eukaryote. RNAcentral describes it as "bacterial SSU rRNA". The stretch from base 1 to 787 matches the Rfam family "Eukaryotic small subunit ribosomal RNA", at positions 1022 to 1831 of the family's 1831-position model. The record is from RNAcentral.
AGCCUUUUGCGUACGAUGCCACUAGCGGAUCCGCCUGGAUGUGCCAUUACUCGCUUGGCGGAGAGCUUCCCGGAAACACAAAGUCUGUCCGGUUCCCCGGGGAAAUAUGGUUGCGCAGCUGAAACUUUUAGGAGUUGACGGAGAGGGGCCCCCCCGAGUGGGGACUGCGGCUUUUUUUUACUCUCCACGGGAAAACUCUCCCGGCCCCGACACCGUGAGGAGAGACACAUAGAGAGCUCUCUCUCGAGUCUCUGGGUGGGGGGGCGUGGGCGUUCUUAUUUGGGGGAGAGAUUUGUCUGGGUUAUUCCCAUAACAAGCGAGACUCUCUCCUACUAAAUAUACAAGCGAUGAUUAUGUCGCGCUGACUUCUUAGAGGGACACUCGCGGUUCGCCCGCACUAAUCUGAGCACUAACACGUCUGUGAUGCCCUUAAAUGUCCGGGGCUGCACCCGCGCUACACUGGAGGAAUCAGCGCGGUUGUGCCCUUGCCUAAAGGGGUUGGCAAACCCUUGAAAAUCCUCCGUGAUCGGGAUCGGGAAUUGCAGCUAUUUCCCUUGAACGAGGAAUUCCCAUUAAGUGUGAGUCAUCUUCUCACGUUGAUUACGUCCCUGCCCUUUGUACACACCGCCCGUCGCUGCCCGGGACUGAGACGCUUCUAGAGAUUCGGGCACCGCUGUAUCUGGGCCUUUCGGGGCACUGAUGCGGACGAGAAGAGCCUUAACGCAUCGGCUCUGACCUGGGCAAAGUGUACGACAGUUUCUGUAGGUGAGCCUGCGUACGAUCACUGGGCGCAUUCGAUUAGCAGCAGGACUAGUCCGUUUACUGAGGUACUCGGACCUGACGUAGUCAGCUCAGACGCGUGUUUUCUUACGUCGCUAUAGUGAGUCGAUUCAUACGUCGGCGCGCUGCUGUUUUCACAAGGUUGUG